This 254-nucleotide ribosomal RNA is filed under the name uncultured bacterium. RNAcentral describes it as "partial 16S ribosomal RNA". It matches the Rfam family "Bacterial small subunit ribosomal RNA", at positions 524 to 777 of the family's 1533-position model. The record is from RNAcentral.
GACAGAGGGUGCAAACGUUGUUCGGAAUUACUGGGCGUAAAGCGCGUGUAGGCGGCCAUCUAAGUCGGGCGUGAAAUCCCACGGCUCAACCGUGGAAGUGCACUCGAAACUGGAUGGCUAGAGUCCUGGAGAGGAAGGUGGAAUGCUUGGUGUAGAGGUGAAAUUCGUAGAUAUCAAGCGGAACACCGGUGGCGAAGGCGGCCUUCUGGACAGUGACUGACGCUGAGACGCGAAAGCGUGGGGAGCAAACAGGG